RNAcentral lists this transfer RNA (73 nucleotides) under Chloroflexota bacterium. RNAcentral's name for it is "Chloroflexi bacterium (anaerobic digester metagenome) tRNA-Glu". It matches the Rfam family "tRNA". From Rfam's summary of the family: Transfer RNA (tRNA) molecules are approximately 80 nucleotides in length. Their secondary structure includes four short double-helical elements and three loops (D, anti-codon, and T loops). Lineage: Bacteria; Bacillati; Chloroflexota. The record is from RNAcentral.
GCCCCCAUCGUCUAGGGGACUAGGACGCAGCCCUUUCAAGGCUAAAACGAGGGUUCGAAUCCCUCUGGGGGCA